AGUGAACGCUGGCGGUAUGCCUAACACAUGCAAGUCGAACGGCAGCACAGUAAGAGCUUGCUCUUACGGGUGGCGAGUGGCGGACGGGUGAGGAAUACAUCGGAAUCUACUUUUUCGUGGGGGAUAACGUAGGGAAACUUACGCUAAUACCGCAUACGACCUACGGGUGAAAGCAGGGGAUCUUCGGACCUUUCGCGAUUGAAUGAGCCGAUGUCGGAUUAGCUAGUUGGCGGGGUAAAGGCCCACCAAGGCGACGAUCCGUAGCUGGUCUGAGAGGAUGAUCAGCCACACUGGAACUGAGACACGGUCCAGACUCCUACGGGAGGCAGCAGUGGGGAAUAUUGGGCAAUGGGCGCAAGCCUGAUCCAGCCAUACCGCGUGGGUGAAGAAGGCCUUCGGGUUGUAAAGCCCUUUUGUUGGGAAAGAAAAGCAGCAGGUUAAUACCCCGCUGUUCUGACGGUACCCAAAGAAUAAGCACCGGCUAACUUCGUG
Molecule: ribosomal RNA, 492 nt
Filed under: uncultured bacterium
Lineage: Bacteria
Description: partial 16S ribosomal RNA
Rfam family: Bacterial small subunit ribosomal RNA
Source: RNAcentral